UCCUCUGCCAAGGACUUGGAAGAAAAUGAAAAAAGGCAGAAAUCAGUGAAGAGAUGAAGCAUUUCUAAUUGCUAAGAUUGUUUUCCUACCUCACCAACAGGGAUUAGUCUGUCCCUAAUCCUGAGGGAGUAUCAACUGGUGCAGUUCUUGGGUCCUGUGGAGUCAGCUGUACAUCAGGAAGAGCUGUGAACUGAGCUCUAGGCUGGAAGAUACCUUCCCACUGACUGCUUUGUAAACUACCACUCACAUCAAACAUGUUACAGCAAAAACAACCAUGAAAAGUGUAUCUACUAUUAGUUCUCUCCCUGUUCAUCUUGCUGGCAUUUAAAGAUCAAGGUU
Molecule: long non-coding RNA, 339 nt
Organism: Cyanistes caeruleus (blue tit)
Lineage: Eukaryota; Metazoa; Chordata; Aves; Passeriformes; Paridae
Source: RefSeq, a predicted model, not a curated record